This is a long non-coding RNA of Xiphophorus couchianus (Monterrey platyfish), 236 nucleotides long. RefSeq lists it as uncharacterized. The record is from RefSeq and is a predicted model, not a curated record. Lineage: Eukaryota; Metazoa; Chordata; Actinopteri; Cyprinodontiformes; Poeciliidae. The transcript is spliced from 2 exons.
AGCGAGGUAAUAUUAGAGGUUCUUCUCAAAUAUGGCGGAAGCGAGUUGAUAAACUGCAACAGUCGUCUGUCUCAUCACUUCCCUGUGUUUUACAGCUUUUUGCCAGAAUCUUCUGAAAGGAUAAAGGAGGCCAGCCGGAUGCACAACCUUGUGAUUGCGUUUGGUCAGACGGAGCCCAUUUUGCUUCAGUGCGGCAUUAAAAGUAGCAGCGAACAAUAAAGAAAAUGCAAUUAUAA